UCUCCUGGAAACGGGUGGUAAUGCCGGAUGUUCCACAUGAGCGCAUGCGAGUGUGGGAAAGGCUUUUUGCGGCAUGGGAUGGGGUCGCGUCCUAUCAGCUUGUUGGUGGGGUAACGGCCUACCAAGGCGUUGACGGGUAGCCGGCCUGAGAGGGCGACCGGCCACAUUGGGACUGAGAUACGGCCCAGGCUCCUACGGGAGGCAGCAGUGGGGAAUAUUGCACAAUGGGCGCAAGCCUGAUGCAGCGACGCCGCGUGCGGGAUGGAGGCCUUCGGGUUGUAAACCGCUUUUGUUCAAGGGCAAGGCACGGUUUCGGCCGUGUUGAGUGGAUUGUUCGAAUAAGCACCGGCUAACUACGUGCCAGCAGCCGCGGUAAUACGUAGGGUGCAAGCGUUAUCCGGAUUUAUUGGGCGUAAAGGGCUCGUAGGCGGUUCGUCGCGUCCGGUGUGAAAGUCCAUCGCUUAACGGUGGAUCCGCGCCGGGUACGGGCGGGCUUGAGUGCGGUAGGGGAGACUGGAAUUCCCGGUGUAACGGUGGAAUGUGUAGAUAUCGGGAAGAACACCA
Molecule: ribosomal RNA, 564 nt
Filed under: uncultured Bifidobacterium sp.
Lineage: Bacteria; Bacillati; Actinomycetota; Actinomycetes; Bifidobacteriales; Bifidobacteriaceae
Description: bacterial SSU rRNA
Rfam family: Bacterial small subunit ribosomal RNA
Source: RNAcentral